Molecule: ribosomal RNA, 535 nt
Filed under: Calanoida sp. CP5
Lineage: Eukaryota; Metazoa; Arthropoda; Copepoda; Calanoida
Description: SSU rRNA
Rfam family: Eukaryotic small subunit ribosomal RNA
Source: RNAcentral
GUCUCAAAGAUUAAGCCAUGCAUGUCUAAGUACAAGCCUCACUAAGGUGAAACCGCGAAUGGCUCAUUAAAUCACACCUAAUCUACUGGAUAGUAGUCAGUUACUCGGAUACCUGCGGUAAUUCUGCAGCUAAUACGUGCAAACAAGCCUCGACUUCGGAAGAGGCGCUUUUAUUAGAUCAAAACCGAUCGGCUUCGGCCGUCCUUUUGGUGAUUCUGAAUAACUUUGAGCUGAUCGCAUGGCCUCGAGCCGGCGACAUAUCCUUCGAAGGUGUGCCCUAUCAUCUGUCGACUGUGGCAUAGACGCCCACAGUGGAUUUGACGGGUAACGGGGAAUCAGGGUUCGAUUCCGGAGAGGGAGCCUUAAAAACGGCUACCACAUCCAAGGAAGGCAGCAGGCACGCAAAUUACCCAAUGACCGAAGGUCGAGGUAGUGACGAAAAAUAACGAUACGGGACUCAUCCGAGGCCCCGUAAUCGGAAUGAGUACACUUUAAAACCUUUCCAACGAGGAUCUAUUGGAGGGCAAGUCUGGUG